AUGGGUACAAGUUUUGUUUGAAGUCAUGCGGUUUGUAUAAUGAAGGCUUAGGAGUAAAAAAUAUUUUUAGCAGGGAGGAAGGGAGUUAAGUAAAUACUUUUUUUCAUUGAAAGUUACACGCAGAAGAAGCACCGAAUAACUCCGUACCAACAGCCGCGGUAAUACUGAGGGUGCAAGCGUUAAUCGAAUUUUCUGGGUGUAAAGCGCACGCAGGCGGUUUGUUAAGUCAUAUGUGAAAUCCCCGGGCUCAACCUGGGAACUGCAUAUGAUACUGGCAAGCUUGAGUCUGGUAGAGGGGGGUAGAAUUCCAGGUGUAGCGGUGAAAUGCGUAGAGAUUUGGAGGAAUACCGGUGGCGAAGGCGGCCCCCUGGACGUUGACUGUCGUUCAGGUGCGAAAGCGUGGGGUGCAGGCAGGAUUAGAUACCCUGGUAGUCCAC
RNAcentral lists this ribosomal RNA (437 nucleotides) under uncultured bacterium. Its description in RNAcentral is "partial 16S ribosomal RNA". It matches the Rfam family "Bacterial small subunit ribosomal RNA", at positions 371 to 798 of the family's 1533-position model. The record is from RNAcentral.